This 177-nucleotide unclassified non-coding RNA is filed under the name uncultured Cladophialophora. RNAcentral's name for it is "sequence contains ITS2". Lineage: Eukaryota; Fungi; Ascomycota; Eurotiomycetes; Chaetothyriales; Herpotrichiellaceae. The record is from RNAcentral.
UCACCCCUCAAGCCCCGUGCUUGGUGUUGGACGGCCUGGCUGGGCGUGCUGCCCCGGCCCCUUUUAAAGACAAUGACGGCGGUCCGUGGAACCCCCGGUACACUGAGCUUCUUUUAACGAGCACGUACCGGAAACAGGGCGCCCGGGCGACGGUCUGAAACCCCCUUAUUUCUCAAA